GGAUAAGCGCUGAAAGCAUCUAAGUGCGAAGCCCACCUCAAGAUGAGAUUUCCCAUGAUUUUAUAUCAGUAAGAGCCCUGAGAGAUGAUCAGGUAGAUAGGUUAGGAGUGUAAUUGUGGUGACACAUUUAGCGGACUAAUACUAAUAGCUCGAGGACUUAUCCAAAA
RNAcentral lists this ribosomal RNA (167 nucleotides) under Streptococcus agalactiae. RNAcentral describes it as "partial 23S ribosomal RNA". It matches the Rfam family "Bacterial large subunit ribosomal RNA", at positions 2762 to 2925 of the family's 2925-position model. RNAcentral also lists the same sequence under 1 other name. Lineage: Bacteria; Bacillati; Bacillota; Bacilli; Lactobacillales; Streptococcaceae. The record is from RNAcentral.